GAUGAACGCUGGCGGCGUGCCUAAUACAUGCAAGUCGAGCGAACAGAUAAGGAGCUUGCUCCUUUGACGUUAGCGGCGGACGGGUGAGUAACACGUGGGUAACCUACCUAUAAGACUGGGAUAACUUCGGGAAACCGGAGCUAAUACCGGAUAACAUUUGGAACCGCAUGGUUCUAAAGUGAAAGAUGGUUUUGCUAUCACUUAUAGAUGGACCCGCGCCGUAUUAGCUAGUUGGUAAGGUAACGGCUUACCAAGGCAACGAUACGUAGCCGACCUGAGAGGGUGAUCGGCCACACUGGAACUGAGACACGGUCCAGACUCCUACGGGAGGCAGCAGUAGGGAAUCUUCCGCAAUGGGCGAAAGCCUGACGGAGCAACGCCGCGUGAGUGAUGAAGGGUUUCGGCUCGUAAAACUCUGUUAUUAGGGAAGAACAAACGUGUAAGUAACUGUGCACGUCUUGACGGUACCUAAUCAGAAAGCCACGGCUAACUACGU
RNAcentral lists this ribosomal RNA (496 nucleotides) under uncultured bacterium. RNAcentral's name for it is "partial 16S ribosomal RNA". It matches the Rfam family "Bacterial small subunit ribosomal RNA", at positions 28 to 506 of the family's 1533-position model. The record is from RNAcentral.